CGCCGGGUGGGCCGAUGCGGCGGCGGCAGCGCCGGGAGCGGGAGCGCCGGGAACACCGGGAACACCGGGAACACCGGGAUAACAGGGAUCGCCAUGGAGUACGUCAGCCCCGAGCAGCUCGCCGGCUUCAGCAAGUACAAGUACAGCGCCGUGGACAGCAACCCCCUGUCCCUGUACGUGAUGCAUCCCUUCUGGAACACCAUCGUCAAGAUCUUCCCCACCUGGCUGGCCCCAAACUUGAUCACCUUCUCUGGCUUCCUGCUCCUUGUCUUCAACUUCUUCCUCAUGGCGUACUUCGACCCGGACUUCUACGCCUCCGCUCCUGACCACCAGCACGUUCCCAACGGAGUGUGGAUCGUUGUGGGGCUCCUCAACUUCAUGGCCUACACGUUAGAUGGAGUUGACGGGAAGCAGGCGCGCCGGACCAACUCCAGCACCCCCCUGGGGGAGCUCUUUGACCACGGGCUGGACAGCUGGGCCUGCGUGUACUUCGUGGUGACCGUCUACUCCACCUUCGGCCGCGGCUCCACCGGCGUCAGCGUCUUCGUCCUCUACCUCCUGCUCUGGGUGGUCUUGUUCUCCUUCAUCCUCUCCCACUGGGAGAAGUACAACACGGGCAUUCUGUUCCUGCCCUGGGGAUAUGACAUCAGCCAGGUGACCAUUUCAAUUGUCUACAUAGUGACAGCCUUUGUGGGAGUUGAGGCCUGGUAUGCACCUUUCCUGUUUAAUUUCUUAUAUAGAGACCUAUUCACUGCAAUGAUUAUUGCCUGUGCUCUCACUGUGACGCUGCCCAUGAGCCUGUACAACUUCUACAAGGCCCAUAAAAACAACACCUUGAAGCACCACUCUGUGUAUGAGAUCCUGCUGCCCCUCGUGUCCCCGGUGCUGCUGUUCCUGCUCUGCACCACGUGGAUCUUCCUGUCCCCCUCUGACAUCCUGGAGGUCCAGCCCAGGCUCUUCUACUUCAUGGUUGGAACAGCCUUUGCCAACAUCUCUUGCCAGCUGAUCGUGUGCCAGAUGAGCAGCACGAGGUGCCGGCCCCUGCACUGGAUGCUGCUGCCCAUCGCGGCCGCGCUGCUGCUCGUCGCCUCGGGGCUGGCGGCCCACAGUGAGACGCUGCUGCUCUACCUGCUGACGGCCUUCCUCACCCUGGCACACAUCCACUACGGCGUGCUCGUGGUGAGCCAGCUGAGCAGGCACUUCAACAUCCGGCCCUUCUCCCUCAAGAAGCCCACCCCGGACUGACUAGGGCUGGAGGAGGAGAGAGUGGGCCUGCGCUCCGCAGAGGGACUGUAAAUACCUGCUGCAAACCCCUGUAAAUACUUCGGCCAUCCCACAGACCCAGCCUCCUCCCCCUGGACGGGCACCAGGGCCGGGACACGCCGGGGACACUCCCACCCUCCUCUGGCACCACAAAGGGGCUUCGCCUGGAGCAGGAGGAGCCUCCAGGUCACCGCUACUGUAUCUGAGACCAGCUGAAUGUUCCCGGGGAAACGUCCAACUGUAUCUGAGACCAGCUGAAUGUUCCCAGGGAAACGUCCAACGCCGGCUCUUGCUCAGGUAAAGCUGGACGGGGAUGCAAAGGCUUUACCUGAGCAAAGCCCCUCUGGGCCUGUCACCAAAACCAACACGGGGCUCGUUUCUCCCAGGUCGGGGGAACAUCCUGGUGGUCGGGGGAGUUCCUGGCUGUCCCCAGCCCUGCUGGACAGCCCUUGGCCUGGGCUGGUACCUCUGGGGCACAUGGUGACAGCUCUCCCACGUUCUGUCCUGCCUUCCUGCAUUUGGGCAAAUAUUGCACCUUUUUUAAGAGGGGGGGAGAAAAAAAACCCCAGACACACACAAAACUUAUAGUUAAAUCCUGACUGGGGGGGGCUUAAAAAGCCAGGGCUCAAUUUCCUGUAAGAGUGGGACUGUGGCUUCUGCCUGCCCUGCUCGAGCUGUGGGUGCCUGGGACCACAUCUCAGCCACGUCCCUGCCUGUCCUUGUGUGUUCCCAGUCCAGGAAUGGGGUCUGGGCUCCCAGUGGCCACGGGAAGUGUCUGAGCCCACAGGGCUGAGCUCCCACGUCUUCCUCCCAGCAGGGCCGUGCUGUUGUGGUCGGCUCUGCGGGUCCUGGGCUGCCUGAGCCACCACUCCCAGGCACAGCCCGGCCCUUCCCACCAGCGCUUCCACCGCCUGGAGAAGCACCCGGAGCCUCGUGUUGGUUGUGUGUGCACCUUCAGAGCCCUCACUGGGGGGGGAGGGUGUGGUGGGAACCCUCCCAGAUCCCACUGUCUCCUCGUCCCCGGCGGCCGCGUGUCUCAUCCAGGGAUCUCUUUGUUUACUGUCCGCUUGUCCAAGACGUGUGUGUUGAUCUGACUUUUUGUUUUUAUGAUUGAGUUCGAGUGGGGUGGUGAAGACUGAAUGCUGAUUUUUCUUUUCCUGUUGGCUUGAUUUAAUGCAGGCCUGUGCUUGAAUGAAGAGUGUAGCUUAAAGCCAGGCUCUGGAAAGGCUGCAUCCGGAAGCGAACAAGCACAGCAGAUAGUGCAGGUGUAACUGCCAUGGGAACAAAGUCCUCCAGACUCUGAUUACUGUGCAACGUGGGGCACAACAGCCUGGUCAGGGCAUUUUCCUUCUGCAGGAGGAGGCUCCUGCUGCUCUAGGAAACCUCCGACGUGUGAGUUCCAGCAGCAAGUAGCUGCUGUCUGAUGGGUUUGCUUUUGUAACUUGGAAUCACUGUCACGCAGGAGACGAGACUUGAAACCCUGAGGUUGAGCUCGUGAGGUCGUGGGGCUCAACUUGGGGCCACUUGGUCACCCCUUGGUCGGCCCAUGGUCACACGGUACGGCCUGUGAGGAGCAACUGGGGCCUCCCCCAGGGCUGAGGAGUGAGCAGGUACCUCCUGAGGGCUGAGGAACAAACAGGUACCUCCCCCAGGGCUGAGAAUGAACAGGUACCUCCCCCUGGGCUGAGAAUGACCAGGUACCUCCCCCGGGGCUGAGGAACAAACAGGUACCUCCCCCAGGGUUGAGAAUGAACAGGUACCUCCCCCAGGGCUGAGAAUGAACAGGUACCUCCUCCCUGGGCUGAGGAAUGAGCAGAUACCUCCUGAGGGCUGAGGGAUGAACAGGUACCUCCCUCUGGGCUGAGAAUGAACAGGUACCUCCCCCUGGGCUGAGGAACAAACAGGUACCUCCCCCAGGGUUGAGAAUGAACAGGUACCUCCCCCAGGGCUGAGAAUGAACAGGUACCUCCUCCUGGGCUGAGGAGUGAACAGGUACCUCCCCCAGGGCUGAGAAUGAACAGGUACCUCCCCUAGGGCUGAGAAUGAACAGGUACCUCCUCCAGGGCUGAUGAAUGAACAGGUACCUCCUCCAGGGCUGAGGAGUGAACAGGUACCUCCUCCUGGGCUGAGAAUGAACAGGUACCUCCCCCAGGGCUGAGGAACAAACAGGUACCUCCCCCAGGGCUGAGGAACAAACAGGUACCUCCCCCAGGGCUGAGAAUGAACAGGUACCUCCCCCUGGGCUGAGGAGUGAACAGGUACCUCCCCCAGGGCUGAGAAGAACAGGUUCCUCCCCAGGGCUGAGGAGUGAGCAGGUACCUCCCCAGGGCUGAGAAUGAACAGGUACCUCCUCCAGGGCUGAUGAAUGAACAGGUACCUCCACCUGGGCUGAGGAGUGAACAGGUACCUCCCCCAGGGCUGAGAAUGAACAGGUACCUCCCCCUGGGCUAAGAAUGAACAGGUACCUCCUCCUGGGCUAAGAAUGAACAGGUACCUCCCCCUGGGCUGAGGAGUGAGCAGGUACCUCCCUCAGGGCUGGGGAACAAACAGGUACCUCCUGAGGGCUGAGGAACAAACAGGUACCUCCCCCAGGGCUGAGGAGUGAACAGGUACCUCCUCCCUGGGCUGAGAAUGAACAGGUACCUCCCCCUGGGCUGAGGAAUGAACAGGUACCUCCCCCUGGGCUGAGGAAUGAGCAGGUACCUCCCCCAGGGCUGAGGAGUGAACAGGUACCUCCCCCUGGGCUGAGAAUGAACACAUACCUCCCCCAGGGCUGAGGAACAGACAGGUACCUCCCCCUGGGCUGAGGAACGAACAGGUACCUCCUGAGGGCUGAGGAACAAACAGGUACCUCCCCCUGGGCUGAGGAGUGAACAAGUACCUCCCCCAGGGCUGCCACCCAUCAUGGGAAGCUCUGGAUGUUGGUGGGAGGCUCUGGAUGUCCGUGGGAAGCUCUGGAUGUCUGUGGGAGGCUCUGGAUGUCCGUGUGCUCACGUGUCCGUGUGGCUGCAACGUGGCCGGGAAAGGGGGCGAGUGGUUUUCAGAGUUUUAUUUAAUAAAGUCCCUUCCUCCCAUCCCUUUUACUGAUGUUGUACAGAGAAAAAAAAAAAAAAACAACUCAGUGGGCAAAUGAACUGGGCUGUGCUUGAGUUUUUGGCUGUUUAAUGCUGUUCACUGAAACAUAAUUAUGGAGAUAAAUUUCAGUGCCGCUCGCCCGGGAACUGGAGGGAACCUUAAACUGGGACACACUUCCCUGGGACACGGUUGGAUGGCAGAGCGUGGGGGUUGGAUGGUUUCCUGUCUAGUUGUGUGUUUGCAGGGCCAGGGGAGGACUGAGCUGUUCCCUCAGGCCUCCAGCUGAGCUCUGGGCUCCCAAACCCACCUGGUCCUGGCUCUUCCCAAGGGCAUGGCUGGGCCCACAGGACUGGGAUGCUGCUGGUGCUGGGAGGAGUUGUCUGAGCUCAAACCUCGGUGUGUAGGAGAAACAUCUCUUUCCCAAACUGGAACUGCUUCCUCUGCACUGGCUUUGUCUCUGGGGAGUCCUUUUGGUGCCUUAAUUGAUUGCACCUUGACACUAAAAAAAAAAAAAGUCUCCUUAAAUCAGCGCUGGGUUGGGCUGGUUGUCCUUGGUGCCACUAGAGCAGGGAGGGAGCAGAGCCCACCUCAGUGAUCUGUGCUGCUGAGGAGGGGGAGUUCUCCUUGGGCUGGGAGAAAUCCAGUGAUUUCUGCUCCUGGAUCCUGAGAGGGGAAUGGAAACGAACAGAGAGCAAAGCCCGUGGGCAGGGUGGGGUGUGGCAGCUGAGGAACAACCCGUUUAUCCAUCGCUCUGGUGUUGGGUCUGAAGGAUAAUUGUGUUCCUGGGUCACAGCCCCUGAGGGGGAUGUCCCACAGGGGAGGUCACUGGCUGGGCUCUGUGCUCCCCAGGGGAUGUGCUCCUGGGGAUGGAGGGCACCUGUCCUGGCUCCUCAGCUCCUCAGCUGACCUGUGCUGUCUCUUCUUCCAGGGAUAAUGUUAGUUCAGGUUGCUCCAAGCCUUGGACACUUCCAGGGAUCCAGGGGCAGCCACAGCUUCUCAGGCCAACCUGGGCCAGAGCCUCCCCACCCUCACAGCCAACAAUUCCUUCCCAAUCUCCCACUUCUCCCUGCCCUCUGGCAGUGGGAAGCCAUUGCCCCUUGUCCUGUCCCUCCAUCCCUUGUCCACAGUCCCUCUCCAGCUCUCCUGGAGCCCCUGGAUGGGACUUGGCAGCCGCCUCUUCUCAUAAACCUCAGGCACCUGAGCCAGGGGCUCUGCCAGAGCCGGGAGCAGCGCUGGGAGUGGGAGCUCAUGAGGCUCUGGGAGCACCUUCCAGAUCCUUCAGCGGGGCUGAUGUCACCUCCUGGCUCAUAGAGGACCUGCCACAGGGACUUGGAGCUGUCCUGAUCUCGGGUCAGCUCUGGGAGGCCCCUAAACUCUUCUCCUCCAAGCCUGCUUGGGAUAGACGUGGACAAUCCCUAGGGAAGCAGCGCUUUUGGGAAACCAGCCUUGGCUGCUCCUGCCUUUGGCACCUGUGCUGUGUCAGAGCAGGGCCUGAGGUGACACCGAGGCUGCUCUUGGUGGGACAGGGAGAGGACAGGAGGGAACGGCCUCCAGCUGUGCCAGGAGAGGGUCAGGUUGGAUAUUGGGAACAAUUCCUUCCUGGAAAGGGCUCUGCAGCCCUGGCACAGCUGCCCAGGGCAGGGGGGAGUCCCCAUCCCUGCAGGGAUUUAAAAGCCCCGUGGAGGUGACACUUGGGGACAGGGGUCAGGGAUGGCCUGGGCAGUGCUGGGGGAGCAGUUGGGCUCGAUGGACUCUGAGGGUUUUUCCAACCCAAAUUAUUGAUGGUGACAACGGGAGCUCUUUGCUUGUGGGAAAGGGUCACUGCUGGUGUGUAGAGGACCCUUUGGCCCACCCGGGUGUGGUCAGACCUGGCUUGGGAGGUCUCUGGGCUGGUCUCCAGGGGAGUGGCCGGGGUGUCCCUGCCCCAGGUUCUCAGGAAUUCGCUGCUCACCCUCCCAGUGUCGUUCAUCCGGUCAGAGCUGGGGCCGUGCUCCAGGUUGGACACUUCAAAAUCCACUUCAAAAUCCACCCCCUUCCCUCCCCAUCUCCCAGCAGGGACACUGCCCUGCCCCAUCCCUCGGAGUGUGUCCCCUGGAGUGGACACUGGCCCUGGCAAAGCCCCGGUGGCUCUCCCCGAGUCCCGGCUCCGGGGGUUCAGGUACUGUGGUGGGUGUGGAGUCCGGUCUGUUCGAUGCUAUUACUGAAAUAUUUAUUGUGUUUGAACCAAACGAAAAACUAUUAAAGUUCAGUAAAGAAUAAAAUUUUCCACGCCUUU
This is an RNA transcript of Chiroxiphia lanceolata (lance-tailed manakin), 6613 nucleotides long. It is a transcript of the gene named selenoprotein I, with no coding region annotated. The transcript is spliced from 15 exons. The record is from RefSeq and is a predicted model, not a curated record. NCBI's taxonomy places the organism in Eukaryota, Metazoa, Chordata, Aves, Passeriformes, Pipridae.